GGGAGGCAGCAGUAGGGAAUCUUCCGCAAUGGACGAAAGUCUGACGGAGCAACGCCGCGUGAGUGAUGAAGGUUUUCGGAUUGUAAAACUCUGUUGUUAGGGAAGAACAAGUACCGUUCGAAUAGGGCGGUACCUUGACGGUACCUAACCAGAAAGCCACGGCUAACUACGUGCCAGCAGCCGCGGUAAUACGUAGGUGGCAAGCGUUGUCCGGAAUUAUUGGGCGUAAAGCGCGCGCAGGCGGUUUCUUAAGUCUGAUGUGAAAGCCCCCGGCUCAACCGGGGAGGGUCAUUGGAAACUGGGGAACUUGAGUGCAGAAGAGGAGAGUGGAAUUCCACGUGUAGCGGUGAAAUGCGUAGAGAUGUGGAGGAACACCAGUGGCGAAGGCGACUCUCUGGUCUGUAACUGACGCUGAGCGCGAAAGCG
Molecule: ribosomal RNA, 426 nt
Filed under: Bacillus licheniformis
Lineage: Bacteria; Bacillati; Bacillota; Bacilli; Caryophanales; Bacillaceae
Description: bacterial SSU rRNA
Rfam family: Bacterial small subunit ribosomal RNA
Source: RNAcentral